Long non-coding RNA from Acanthaster planci (crown-of-thorns starfish), 5115 nucleotides. The record is from RefSeq and is a predicted model, not a curated record. NCBI's taxonomy places the organism in Eukaryota, Metazoa, Echinodermata, Asteroidea, Valvatida, Acanthasteridae.
UGUUUAAAGCCUAUAUUAACCACAACGUCACAGUUUUGAAACAAUGAAGGGAUGCAUGUAGCCACUUCGCUGCCGACAACAAUUGAGUCUGAUGGUUCGAUUUGUCCAAUUUAACGCUUACACACUGUGUGUUGUCCUUUUUUCUUAGAAGGAAACCAAAUAGCUGGAUAAUUGGCUCAAGAUAUGGGUGUUUUCCCAGUCAAAUGAACAUUAUGCUUAAAGCGAGAUUCGAAUUUGUAAACGGUUCUGGGAUCCUUCGAUGCGUUAAUCUUACAACAAAUGUUACCAAGGUAACUCGGAUCUGUCAUGACUGAAGAAUCAUCAACCGUAUUGUUCGGAUUUUCACUUUCUGGAAAGGUUUUCCAAAGGACUCACUCUAUAGGAGAAUAAGUUGUUUUCACUUUUGCCUUUGCAGAGUGGAUUGUGUGAUUACGGACCCGGUAUAGCGAUGGGAGCUGAUGGUAUUAGGGAAAAGGUGAAAGUCUAUAAACUAGUUAUAAACUAGUGAGCUGCACAUAUCCCCAGCAGGUGUCGUGAUUAUCGUGACAAUGGAUCUGUCCUGUUUGCUAAACCAGACAUAUUUAGGUCUGAGCUGCUGCUGCUUACAUGUGGAAAAGCGCCAGGAAGACAGACAAAAUGUAGACGGCUAUGCCUUUCCAGGGCAUCCUCCAGGGUCAGCGACUGGCUGACAAGUCCUUGAUUGUGGCCAGCCACUACUAGGCCAAAAAAGAAAGGGAAUGACGGAUGCCCAUGAAGAAGGCCCAUUGCCCUCGCCUCAUCAGGAUGGGAAGUUGGUCUGUUGUUGACCUGACGCACUUGACGGCCACUUUGUUUCCAUGGAAUGUUUCUAGCUGGACAGUUGCAACGCCCUCAGGUCUAUCCUCGUAACCAUUCAUCGGGAGCAAGAACACCUCCAUAGCUAGCGUUGCCACGCUGAGCUGCAGAGGUAUACGGCAGGUUGUAGCCCUGGAUGAACUGUGGGCAGUAGUGCCCCCAACAUCACGGACCAAAAUGUUAUCAGUUUUAAGGUCAUUAUGAAGGAGACUCCUGUCGUGCAUGUGUCGUAGACCGUCCAGCACAUCCAGCGCGAUGCGGCGUUAGGAAGACGGGGCAAGCUGUAUACGGUUGGGCCCUUACAGUACAUCCGCCAGGGAUAACUGACGAGAAUGUUCUUUGAGGAGGUCCCUUGAACUGAGAUGGCCUAUGGAAUAAUGACGGGAUGGUUGCAGAGAUAUCUGAUGGACUGGAAGUGGAGCUGAUUAGGUGGAGCUAGUUCAUAGGUCUGCAGGGAUAGUUGGAGAGGUGGCCAGCAACCCCUGGUUGGGAACAAACAAAACGAGCUUAUGCAUAUCUCAGGGGGCCAAUCACAAAUAAGGGCAAGGUCCAUUGUCACUGCCUAUCAAAUCGCCAGCAGGAUUAGGAUGAAAGCUAACAGCAGCCGCCGGCGAUCACAAUUUACGUCUGCCUGUUUGCAACAAGAGCGAUCUGAUUACAAGGGGCCAAUCAAAAACCAGGACAAGGUCCAUGGUCACUGCCUCUCAAAUCACUAGCAGAAUUUAAACUACAAGAAGCCGGCCGCCGGCUGCACUCCUGACAGCGAUUACAACCCAUGUCUGGCUUCUUGCAACAAGAGCGUUUUGUUUCCUUAAAAGUUACAAGAUGCAUUUCUUUCUGGUAAACGUCCUUUUGUUCGGCUGUCUUCUUGGAAACUUUGUCAUGCUGCGACCUGUGAACAAUGAACUGGACGAAGGGCGAGAAUAUGAGAGCGAGGAAACUCUUGAUAGACCCAAUCAGCAGUCGAUAGCUUUUACUGCUGUGAGGACAAACGACACGGAUCCCUGCUACAAUCACACAACCCCUUUGGCCUUCCAGCAGACUUUGACACUUCUGCCAGGUACUAGCUUUGAUCUCAAGAAUGGUACGUUUACCUGUACUGUGCCAGGGACCUACGCGUUCUCGUUCUCGGUGUACAAAAAUGGUCCCGGUCCCGUUCCCGCGCUUUACGUUCAUCUAAAGAAAAACAACGAAUGGAUUGUCUCUGGUAGCAGUGGUUAUCCAAGUCACUAUGAGCAGGUGUCUGGGAGUGCAGUGCUUGUUCUCCAGCGAGGAGACGAAGUGUAUUUGACCUUAUAUGGUAGUGUGGCCGGUGGUGACUUCUAUCACUUCAACUCCUUCAGCGGCUUCUUGCUUUACGCCAGUUAAUUGAUUGGUCCAAGUGACCAACAUUCUUUGUGUGCAACCUAAUGCGAUUAAUUGAUCUAUGUAUGGCAAGUGUUUAACGCCUCUUCGGGCUAGCCAAGUGUUAUAAAGGGCACUUUUUUAAUCAUUUGAAAUGACUGAGGGCGCUUUUGCUGUAAUGUCAGUCUGGGAGGACACUAUUGGGCUUAUUCAAUGGGGAAAUUCUAACCUUGGGAUGGCCAGGUGUACCAAGUCAAACAAGUGAGAUGUUGGGGUUCGAGGUAAACCCAAAUCAGCCAGUGGAAGCUAAUCGAACGUACCCCAUUCAUUCCAAACCAUGGGGGGUUCAAAAUAGUGGAACCAACAUUUUCGAAUUAAAUUCUCUAGACUUAUUGCCAUGAGCUCGCACAGCAAUGGAUCAUCAAAGAAAAACAAUUAAGGCCCAACUAUGUAAGAAAUCCUAAUAUUUAUUUUGCAAAAAGCAAAGUCAUGGAGUUUUUCUCUGGAAUGACAUUAUGAUUUAUGGAUAGUCAUUAAUGACUGUAUGGAAACAUAUGUUAUUGUAUUGACCUUGUUAAGCGUUAAUGACAUCAACUUGUAGUGGACAUGAUGCGUAGGAGAAAUAUACUUGCUUCAAAAUUGCUUGUUUACGUCUUUUGAGUGUUCCAGAAAACAAGUUAAGAUCGAUGCUUUUCCGGCUACAAGAAUGGAAUGUUCUGACAAGGGUAUAUCGAAAUUUUAUAUAUACAUAUUAACAAAAACUUCCGGAAUUAUCAAAGAAGAUGAAGACAAAUGAGAUAAAGUUAUAAAAUAUAAUAAAAAGGGGAAACCUAGGGUCUGUAUUAAGUUUGAGUUGUAAACUUUACUUGCUGUUGAUGAUUUCUCACUUCAUCAGGAAAUUCAACCCAAAAAGGAAUUGUUAUCUUUUCCACAUUCUCUUUUUCAUCAUUUAUGUCACACUUAUUUUCCUCUUUUUAAUUAAAGUUAACCAUGCGUUUGGUGAUUUUCGACGUCGUAUUUUUUUCUGAUCUUAACAUAAAACAUUUAUGCAGAAUGAUUCAAGAGCUGUACACUCUACACAAAAGAAUAGGUGGACGUUAACGUGUUCAAUAUGUAAAGAUUAACGUAUCAGUUAAACAAAAACUCUCGCCAAAAAGGCAGAUAUAUUUACAUAUUGGCCAAUAAUGUCUUUGAAGUAAGAUUUUUUCAAGGAUUAUUCAGGAGUCCCGUUUUUGUGAUUUUACGGAUGGUAAAAGAUACUUUUGAAAUGAUAAGAAUUUACCAGUUUGAUGAUUCACAGGGCCAUUGAAAUCAAGAGUGUUCGUCUUGAUAUCUAUAUUAAUUGUAAAAUACUUGAUAUAAGCCAUAAAUCUAAAAUUGAAUAAAAUUAAAAAUUUCAAAAAAUAAUUCCCAGUUGUCUGGAUAAUGGUGCAUUUGUUGCAAAAGGUUUUGUGGGCAGUUAUGUUGUCAUUCACGAAACACUGAAGGAGUCUCAGAAAUCGUUUGUUCUUUGAAGCUGAUCUGAAGAAUAAACAAGUGUAAUUAACAAACUGAACGUUUUGUUACCAUAUUUUCCAUAUUUUGCCAUUUUCCCAAAACCUGUCAAGGCGUAGUCUUGGCGUGCACCAACCACUUGCAUUUAUAAACAUUGUCAAACUCGAAUUCUAAACUCCAGAAUCCAAUCUAUCACGGGAUUACGUGGAGCAUCGGCCAUAGGAAAUCAUAUCAGGUCAGACUUGAAAAGGGCAACAGAACCUGAACACCUGCGUGCAUUAUGCAUUCAAUGCAGAGUGUUUAUUUUCCAGAGACCUUAACAGAUCCAUGCAGUAAAAAUUACUGAAACCCACUUUUGGUAUAUUCCAGACAACUAUCGGCUUUGCAGUUUCAAUGUCAUUCAGAAAAGACAUUGUUCAGUUUAUACCUUCAAUUCAAUUGCAGUUAAAUUCAAUUCACUUUGUUUCAAUUGAAUCAAAUCCAGUUAACCUACGUGAAGUGGAAAUAUAGCUUUUUUAAUCAAUAGAAUUUGUACAGAAGUCAAUGCUGAGACUGUACAUGUUACCCUAAAUCAACUCACUGAACAUUUCGUUGAGGGUAGUCCACAAUCCACACAUGUCUCACUGUUUGAGUAAUGAUCUUUCAGUAGCCCAGCCUGAUAGGAAAUCUAAGCAGUUUCAACAGAUUGUGACAGUUCAACAGCUAAAGGUUUUGUCAUUUCUGAAAGUAGCUAAAACACAUGCAUUAUACAAAUAUCCCAUUUCUCUCAAUAUAACCGCAAAAAAGGUCAGAGUACCGUCACGGUACCCUUUUUCUAGUGGGGGGACCAAGUAAACAACAAUUUGACCCCCCCAAAAAAAAACAAACAAUGAAACUACCCAGACAGCUGUCUAGACAUAGCUCAGAGGCACAUCAAAGAGACCGAACAUUGAUAUAAGACAGGCCCUGGCUUGCCCAAGCACCGUUUCUGUAAACAAUCCGAUAAGGCCACGUGGCAGAGAGAUUAGUACAUAGUUCAAUGGGACUCAUUGGCUGGAGGCUGGCUUUGGCGAAACUUAUAUCAGCCAAGGGGAAGUCCCUACCUUAAAGGUGACUAAACUAGGUUAUUCAGCAUGGGCAGAGGUAGGAAUAGAUGGAUGGUCAUCGCAUUUGGCCGUAAUUUUUUUUUAAUUAAGACAUUGCGAAAAUGGCCGUCCAUGGCUGACGGACGUUGCUCUAUGGAAAGGAAAAAGUAUUAAACUACAUCAGGAUACUAUGAACUCAUAAGCUUGAAACAUAAAGUAUUGUGGCGAAACAGUCUGUGGACUGACGCAAGUUUAGUAAUACAUGUCUUGUUCCCUGACGCGCGGCGCAUCCAUUGGCGCGUAGUCAGUAAUUUGGUAGUUAGUUCGUCUCCAGGCGUCGUGGUAGAAGCAUCGCAGUGCAGAUAGAGCGAAACGCUUA